AUUGAACGCUGGCGGCAUGCCUUACACAUGCAAGUCGAACGGCAGCAUGGAGAGCUUGCUCUCUGAUGGCGAGUGGCGAACGGGUGAGUAAAGCAUCGGAACGUACCGUGUAGGUGGGGAUAACGUAGCGAAAGUGAAGCGAAUACCGCAUACGCACUGAGGUGGAAAGCAGGGGAUCGUAAGACCGUGUGCUAUACGAGCGGCCGAUGUCAGAUUAGCUAGUUGGUAGGGUAAAGGCCUACCAAGGCGACGAUCUGUAGCGGGUCUGAGAGGAUGAUCCGCCACACUGGGACUGAGACACGGCCCAGACUCCUACGGGAGGCAGCAGUGGGGAAUUUUGGACAAUGGGGGCAACCCUGAUCCAGCCAUGCCGCGUGAGUGAAGAAGGCCUUCGGGUUGUAAAGCUCUUUCGGCCGGGAAGAAAUCGCACAGGCUAAUACCCUGUGUGGAUGACGGUACCGGCAUAAGAAGCACCGGCUAACUACGUGCCAGCCGCCGCAGUAA
RNAcentral lists this ribosomal RNA (504 nucleotides) under uncultured bacterium. Its description in RNAcentral is "partial 16S ribosomal RNA". It matches the Rfam family "Bacterial small subunit ribosomal RNA", at positions 29 to 523 of the family's 1533-position model. The record is from RNAcentral.